UAGCUGUAGGGAAUUUUCGUCAAUGGGGGGAACCCUGAACGAGCAAUGCCGCGUGAGUGAUGAAGGAUUUCGGUCUGUAAAGCUCUGUUGUAAAGGAAAAACGAUCACUAGAGGGAAUGCUAGUGAGCUGAUGGUACUUUACCAGAAAGCCACGGCUAACUACGUGCCAGCAGCCGCGGUAAUACGUAGGUG
RNAcentral lists this ribosomal RNA (192 nucleotides) under uncultured Eubacterium sp. RNAcentral describes it as "partial 16S ribosomal RNA". It matches the Rfam family "Bacterial small subunit ribosomal RNA", at positions 349 to 533 of the family's 1533-position model. Lineage: Bacteria; Bacillati; Bacillota; Clostridia; Eubacteriales; Eubacteriaceae. The record is from RNAcentral.